ACGAUAUUCCGCUGCUUGAUUAAGCAAGAAUGUCUG
The sequence is a regulatory RNA element, 36 nucleotides long. It matches the Rfam family "Ribosomal protein L19 leader". From Rfam's summary of the family: This family is a putative r-protein leader autoregulatory structure found in B. subtilis and other low-GC Gram-positive bacteria. It is located in the 5' untranslated regions of mRNAs encoding ribosomal protein L19 (rplS). The record is from Rfam.